Molecule: ribosomal RNA, 366 nt
Filed under: uncultured bacterium
Lineage: Bacteria
Description: bacterial SSU rRNA
Rfam family: Bacterial small subunit ribosomal RNA
Source: RNAcentral
GAAUGAACGCUGGCGGCGCGCCUAAUACAUGCAAGUCGAGCGAGAAGACGUAGCAAUACGUUUGUAAAGCGGCGAACGGGUGAGGAAUACAUGGGUAACCUACCCUCGAGUGGGGAAUAACUAGCCGAAAGGUUAGCUAAUACCGCGUACGCUUCUUGGACUUCGGUUCAGGGAGGAAAGCGAUGCCGAGGGUAUCGCGCUCUUGGAUGGGCUCAUGUCCUAUCAGCUUGUUGGGAGGUAACGGCUCACCAAGGCUUCGACGGGUAGCUGGUCUGAGAGGACGAUCAGCCACACUGGCACUGCGACACGGGCCAGACUCCUACGGGAGGCAGCAGUAAGGAAUAUUGCGCAAUGGGCGAAAGCCUG